UACGGAGGGUGCAAGCGUUAUCCGGAUUCACUGGGUUUAAAGGGUGCGUAGGUGGGCCUGUAAGUCAGUGGUGAAAUCUCCGGGUUUAACCCGGAAACUGCCAUUGAUACUAUAGGUCUUGAAUUUUCUGGAGGUCAGCGGAAUAUGUCAUGUAGCGGUGAAAUGCUUAGAUAUGACAUAGAACACCAAUUGCGAAGGCAGCUGGCUACAGGAACAUUGACACUGAGGCACGAAAGCGUGGGGAUCAAACAGG
Molecule: ribosomal RNA, 253 nt
Filed under: uncultured bacterium
Lineage: Bacteria
Description: partial 16S ribosomal RNA
Rfam family: Bacterial small subunit ribosomal RNA
Source: RNAcentral